GUAGUCAUAUGCUUGUCUCAAAGAUUAAGCCAUGCAUGUCUAAGUUCACGCUUUUAAACAGUGAAACCGCGAAUGGCUCAUUAAAUCAGUUAUAUUUUAUUAGGACAUAAAAUUACUUGGAUAACUGUGGUAAUUCUAGAGCUAAUACAUGCAAAGUGUGAUAGCAAUAUCAUGUGCUUUUAUUAGACUAAACCCUUUUAGCUUCGGCUAUAUUUAUGGUGAUGACUCUGAAUAACUUAGUUGAGCAAUCAGGUUUUAAACCGGUGCUAUUCCUUUCAAGUAUCUGCUCUAUCAACUGUCGAUGGUUAGUUACUUGCUAACCAUGGUUUUGACGGGUAACGGGGAAUCAGGGUUCGAUUCCGGAGAGGGAGCCUGAGAAACGGCUACCACAUCCAAGGAAGGCAGCAGGCGCGCAAAUUACCCAAUCCCUGAACGGGGAGGUAGUGACGAAAAAUAACAAUAUGGGACUCUUCAGAGGCUUCAUAAUUGGAAUGAGUACACUUUAAAAUUUUUAACGAGGAACUAUUGGAGGGCAAGUCUGGUGCCAGCAGCCGCGGUAAUUCCAGCUCCAAUAGCGUAUAUUAAAAUUGUUGCGGUUAAAAAGCUCGUAGUUGUAAGCUUUGCAUCGAUUUACAUGGACGUAUGUGAAUAUGUCAACGUAUUAUUGGUGCAAUCGCGAGGUAGCUGUUAUCGUCGUCUUAAUUGAUCGACGGUUGAUGGUUAUCAUUUAUCACUUUGAUUAAAUUAGGGUGCUUAAAGCGAGUGUAAUGCUUAUAUAUUAUUGCAUGGAAUGAUGGAAUACGUUGUUGUUCUGUUUGUUGGUUUUUUGGACGACAAGAUGGUUGAUAGGAACAAUUGGGGGCAUUAGUAUUGCGAUGAUAGAGGUGAAAUUCUUAGACCAUUGCAAGACUAACUACAGCGAAAGCAUUUGCCAAGAAUGUUUUCAUUGAUCAAGAACGAAAGUUAGAGGUUCGAAGGCGAUUAGAUACCGCCCUAGUUCUAACCAUAAACGAUGCCAACUAGCAAUUUGCAUGAGUAUAUUUGAUGAUUCUGUAAGAGGCUUCGGGAAACCAAAGUAAGGUUCUGGGGGAAGUAUGGUUGCAAAGCUGAAACUUAAAGGAAUUGACGGAAGGGCACCACCAGGAGUGGAGCCUGCGGCUUAAUUUGACUCAACACGGGAAAGCUUACCUGGUCCGGACACUGGAAGGAUUGACAGAUUGAUAGCUCUUUCUUGAUUUAGUGGAUGGUGGUGCAUGGCCGUUCUUAGUUGGUGGAGUGAUUUGUCUGGUUAAUUCCGACAACGAACGAGAUUCUACCCUACUAAAUAAUAUUUUGGAUUUAUACUCCAGUAAUGUUUCUUAGUGGGACAAUGUACGUGUAGUACAAUGAGACAGAGCAAUAACAGGUCUGUGAUGCCCUUAGAUGUUCGGGGCUGCACGCGCGCUACAAUGAAAGAUGCAAUGUGUAUCGUUUUAGUUUUGACAAACUAAAUAAUCUUAAAAUAUUUUUCAUAACAGGGAUGGGGGAUUGAAAUUAUGCCCCUUGAACGAGGAAUUCCCAGUAAAUAUUAAUCAUUAGUUAGUGUUGAUUACGUCCCUGCCCUUUGUACACACCGCCCGUCGCUACUACCGAUUGAAUGGUUUAGUAAGGACAUUGGAGGAACUAAAUAGCUAUUUUAUAGUUAUUUAAGUUUCAAAGAAGCCCAAGCUUGAUCGUUUAGAGGAAGUAAAGUCGUAACAAGGUUUCCGUAGGUGAACCUGCGGA
This 1764-nucleotide ribosomal RNA is filed under the name Proarctacarus oregonensis. RNAcentral describes it as "SSU rRNA". It matches the Rfam family "Eukaryotic small subunit ribosomal RNA". Lineage: Eukaryota; Metazoa; Arthropoda; Arachnida; Mesostigmata; Arctacaridae. The record is from RNAcentral.